Molecule: ribosomal RNA, 524 nt
Filed under: Bifidobacterium dentium
Lineage: Bacteria; Bacillati; Actinomycetota; Actinomycetes; Bifidobacteriales; Bifidobacteriaceae
Description: bacterial SSU rRNA
Rfam family: Bacterial small subunit ribosomal RNA
Source: RNAcentral
GGUAAUGCCGGAUGCUCCGGUUGGAUGCAUGUCCUUCCGGGAAAGAUCCGUCGGUAUGGGAUGGGGUCGCGUCCUAUCAGCUUGAUGGCGGGGUAACGGCCCACCAUGGCUUCGACGGGUAGCCGGCCUGAGAGGGCGACCGGCCACAUUGGGACUGAGAUACGGCCCAGACUCCUACGGGAGGCAGCAGUGGGGAAUAUUGCACAAUGGGCGCAAGCCUGAUGCAGCGACGCCGCGUGCGGGAUGGAGGCCUUCGGGUUGUAAACCGCUUUUGAUCGGGAGCAAGCCCUUCGGGGUGAGUGUACCUUUCGAAUAAGCACCGGCUAACUACGUGCCAGCAGCCGCGGUAAUACGUAGGGUGCAAGCGUUAUCCGGAAUUAUUGGGCGUAAAGGGCUCGUAGGCGGUUCGUCGCGUCCGGUGUGAAAGCCCAUCGCUUAACGGUGGGUCUGCGCCGGGUACGGGCGGGCUGGAGUGCGGUAGGGGAGACUGGAAUUCCCGGUGUAACGGUGGAAUGUGUAGAUAU